CCUACGGGAGGCAGCAGUGGGGAAUAUUGGACAAUGGGCGAAAGCCUGAUGCAGCAAGGCCGCGUGAGUGAGGAAGGCUUUCGGGUUGUAAACUUCUUUUGGCAGGGAAGAGUAGAGAACGUUACCUAUAGCGUAGCCCACGGCUAACUACUGGCCAGCAGCCGGGGUAAUACGUAGGUGGAAAGCGUUGUCCGGAUUUACUGGGUGUAAAGGGCGUGUAACGGGGUGGACAAGUCAGAUGUGAAAUCCUGAGGCUUAACCGUAGAACUGCAUUUGAAACUGUCGAUCUUGAGUACGGGAGAGGCAGACGGAAUUCCUAGUGUAGCGGUGAAAUGCGUAGAUAUUAGGAGGAACACCAGUGGCGAAGGCGGUCUGCUGGACAGCAACUGACGGUGAGGCUCGAAAGCGUGGGGAGCAAACAGGAUUAGAUACCCCAGUAGUC
RNAcentral lists this ribosomal RNA (442 nucleotides) under uncultured bacterium. RNAcentral's name for it is "partial 16S ribosomal RNA". It matches the Rfam family "Bacterial small subunit ribosomal RNA", at positions 338 to 795 of the family's 1533-position model. The record is from RNAcentral.